GAAAUGCGAUAAGUAAUGUGAAUUGCAGAAUUCAGUGAAUCAUCGAAUCUUUGAACGCACCUUGCGCUCCCUGGUAUUCCGGGGAGCAUGCCUGUUUGAGUGUCAUGGUAUCCUCAACCUUCAUAACUUUUUGUUAUCGAAGGCUUGGACUUGGAGGUUGUGCUGGCUUUUAGUCGAGUCGGCUCCUCUUAAAUGUAUUAGCGUGAGUGUAACGGAUCGCUUCGGUGUGAUAAUUAUCUGCGCCGUGGUCGUGAAGUAACAUAAGCUUGCGCUUCUAACCGUCCUUCAGUUGGACAACUUACUUUGACAUCUGACCUCAAAUCAGGUAGGACUACCCGCUGAACUUAAGC
RNAcentral lists this unclassified non-coding RNA (350 nucleotides) under plant metagenome. RNAcentral's name for it is "partial contains 5.8S ribosomal RNA, internal transcribed spacer 2, and large subunit ribosomal RNA". The stretch from base 1 to 105 matches the Rfam family "5.8S ribosomal RNA", at positions 50 to 154 of the family's 154-position model. The record is from RNAcentral.